Molecule: long non-coding RNA, 2354 nt
Organism: Hibiscus syriacus
Lineage: Eukaryota; Viridiplantae; Streptophyta; Magnoliopsida; Malvales; Malvaceae
Exons: 2
Source: RefSeq, a predicted model, not a curated record
GGUCGCCCAAACGAGUGGCUCUCACGCUCAGCCAAAACGGUUUGAUUCUUUAUUAUUUCUUUGGACUUUAUUACUAUUGUUUGGUUUACUUAUUUGGUUUCAAUACCGAUUGGGAAUUUUCUUUUCCUCUCCACAAUUCAUUCUCAAUGUGGUCGAUCUUUAUGUUUCUUCAAUGGCGACGAUCGGUAACGCAUCUUUGGUUGAGAUCUUUGAUAGUCUUUGAUUCUUUCGCCACGACUUUUCUCAUUCGAGUGAAUAGGAACCACCAUUAAAGGGUUGUGUGGAAACCAUCGGAGAGCCCAACCACUCACCCAACUAUGGCUUUAGGACGACUGCUCAGGCAAGGCGAUUCCCAGGCGGACACGGAGGCUCUGACCCACGAUCGCUGGUUGGAUGUUCUUAUUUUCCCUUUCUUUCUCAGAUACCAAGAAGUUCUUCGUUCUUUGUGGGUUCUUACUGUGUUGCAAAAAUUGCACCACGCGCGAGGGGACUGCAAUUCGGUGCUUCAAGGAUGGCUCAUUGCGUUAGUCAGUCGGUGACAAUUCUGCGGCAUCUCUUAUUAGCGCAUGAGAUUGAAUUCUUCUUUGCAUAUGAAAUUGUCCAGAUGCUCGAAUUCUGUUUGUUCAAUUUGGUUCAAUUCAAGUGGUAUUUGGUUACCCUUGUCACAAAUUCCUUUUAUAAGCAUGAUAGAUGAUGGAUUGGAUUGGUUCCGACAUGGCUCUUCUCUCACGAUUGGGUUUUGCAUGUUCCUUUUUUACCCGAUACCUCUUAUUCGGUGAAAGUGUCUCACAUUUGGCUUAUCUGUUUGGUUGGUAAUGCAUAUUUUGCUCCUUCGAUGUGAAAUAGGGUUUUCACAACGUGUUGGACUGUCGUGUCUACCACAAUGAAGAGGAGUACUGGUAGCCCGGGAGUGCUAUUGCUUAUGAAAUUUUGUUAGUCACAUCACUGGUAACACUUCUACAAACGGCACCCUUGUACCUUUCUUUGGUUGUUUGAUAUUCCUCAAAUAGGGUCUGGAACUACACAAUUGUUUUCUCUAUAACACGAGCACUAGAGAUGGAUAUGUGUAUAAUUUUUGUCCUUGGUUUAUUCUUUUGUAUGUUUGGAGUGCCCAUUUCCAUUUGUACUGCCGGGUAUGUUCUGCUAGCUUACUUUUAUUGGAAUAUGCUACGGGGUCAUGACCUUCAUACUUGCGCAAGCAUAUGGAAGUAUUCUUUUAUUAUGUUUAUAAGGAUUUUGUUUCCUUAUGAUGAAAGUUGGCUGAUCAUUUUUUGGUUUUUAAAUGUUAAAAUCUAUUAAAGGUUCAAAGGAUUACUUAAAUACGAUUUACAGAGCAUUUUAGUAGUUUUAGUCUACAUACAUUGCUAUUAUUUGUGUAUGUUAGUGAGGCUUGAUUGUUACAUCAUGAUAGACUAUGCCAGUAUUAGAUACGAGAUUGAAUGGAUGUAUGCUAUAUUUAGUAUUAUAUGGCUAAGUACUCUAUCUCUAUCAGUACAUGGUGUUUUUGUUUGGCAUGCAUAUGAAUCUAAUAUACGAUUUGUAUGCUACUAUUUGAUUGUGUCACCUUGUUGGUUUGAGAUGAAUCCUACUGCUUCUGUUUCUAUGUUAUUAUGGAUGAAUGUUUUAGAUACUGAGGUAUGGAAAUGAUUUCAUUGGCUGAAUGCUCUGUUUCUCGAUGUAUAUUGGACAUUGGAGUUUCAUUGGGUACCUGAUAUAAUUACUAAUAUGCGUGGCUUAUUAAGGUGUGCUCGAUUGAAAUGAUUUCCUUUUUGUCCUAUGCUUGUGCAACUAUUUAGUUGUGUACUGUGGUAUUGUUCUGUUACCUUAUGGAAUCAGCGUGCCCCACAAUACCCGGAUUCCGUCCAUACUGGAUUGGAAUUCUUUAGUCAUUUGGGAUACCCCUGGGAUACCCCGGUGCGAGGUUUAAUUGGUCAUAGGUGGAAAGGCUAUACUGUUGUACAAUGACACGUGUCAUAUAUGGAGAUGGAUGCUAGCUAUUCAUAUUGGAUUUAUAGUGUACAGGAUAUACCUCUUGUGGGACAAAGCAGUCGACUUGUUUGGCAAAAGCUUUAUUUCAUGCCAGUUCCAAAGGGAUCUGUUAGUUUGGAAAAACAGACGAUCUAGCUUUAUUGUGGAGCCACCUUUGGAGAGCUGGGUUCUGCGGAUGUUUCUUGUAGGAUGCUUGGGCAAGUAUACAUGAUUUGUCGCAUGCUUGAGGAACCCUGGAUUUACAUGAAAAGUGUUUUUAUAUGUUUUUAUCUUUGAUUGGGUUGUAAUAAUUUUAUUUCAUUGGUUCGGUUUAAUUGAUUGGGCUGUAAUAAGUUAAAUUUAGUUGAUAGCCAUAUAUGUUGUAA